GUAACUGAAGAUGUGCUGUGUCAUUGUUGUGUAGUGUCGGUGAACAAAUAUCAUUACGCUGACCACAUGGGAACAGGUGACUAACUGAGAAGAGAAGACAUUAAAGUGGAGUGAUGCUGUGACUGUUAAUCUCCUUUCUGCGCAAUGCUGCUGCCUGGGUAGUCUGUUGCUGGUGCUGCUGUCAGAGGAGUGGGGCAGAAGGAUGACAAAACCAGGGCAAAGGGCAGAAGGUGUGGACAGUCUUUAGUGAUGGAAAAACACAGAGUCAAAACCCUCUCUAAUCCCUCUGGGUUGAAGAGAUGCCCACAUUUUCCCUCUGCCUUAUUUACCUCUCAAGCUUAUGCACCUGCAGCUUGUUGAUCUAUGUUGCUCUGUACUUGUUAUAAUGACGACUUGUCUGAAAACUCCUUGUUGGGGAGCUGGAUAAUGUCUGACAGCCGACAAGUGCAGCAGUAAAUUGACUAACUUAAUAAAAUAAAUGGUUGUUUAAAUUA
Molecule: long non-coding RNA, 494 nt
Organism: Epinephelus lanceolatus (giant grouper)
Lineage: Eukaryota; Metazoa; Chordata; Actinopteri; Perciformes; Serranidae
Source: RefSeq, a predicted model, not a curated record